GGCAGUGUGGUGUCGUGGCUUGAAUGUUGGACUAUAACUCUGGAGAUCAGGGUUCAAUUCCCUGUUCGACCA
Non-coding RNA from Phrynosoma platyrhinos (Desert horned lizard), 72 nucleotides. Lineage: Eukaryota; Metazoa; Chordata; Lepidosauria; Squamata; Phrynosomatidae. The record is from the annotation of a GenBank genome assembly.